Aegilops tauschii subsp. strangulata is the source of this 273-nucleotide long non-coding RNA. RefSeq lists it as uncharacterized. The record is from RefSeq and is a predicted model, not a curated record. Lineage: Eukaryota; Viridiplantae; Streptophyta; Magnoliopsida; Poales; Poaceae.
GUAGUCCUUUUUUAUACUGAAUUUUGAUGCAUACUCUAUGCAGAAAAGAAGGCCUCCUCGGACAUUAAGAAGGUACAACUAGGAACUUGGCAGAAGCUCUACAUAUGCAAAUGGAGGUUCAGACACAGCUCCAUGAACAGCUAUAGGAUUCCUACUAGAACAUGUCAUUCCAAAUUGCGGCAAUGAUCUUUCUACUCAUGAGCAGUCCUUUUUUAUACUGAAUUUUGAUGCAUACUGUAUGCAGACAAGAAGGGCCCCUCGGACAUUAAGAAG